RNAcentral lists this ribosomal RNA (1253 nucleotides) under human gut metagenome. RNAcentral's name for it is "bacterial LSU rRNA". It matches the Rfam family "Bacterial large subunit ribosomal RNA", at positions 844 to 2107 of the family's 2925-position model. The record is from RNAcentral.
AAUAGCUGGUUCUCCUCGAAAUAGCUUUAGGGCUAGCCUCACUAAAGAAAUGUACGCAGGUAGAGCACUGAAUUGGCUAGGGGGCCACAAAGCUUACCGAACCUUAUCAAACUUCGAAUGGCGUACAUGAAUGAGUGGGAGUCAGACAGUGGGAGCUAAGUUUCAUUGUCAAAAGGGAAACAGCCCAGAUCAUCAGCUAAGGUCCCAAAGUAUAGGUUAAGUGGCAAAGGAUGUGAGGAUGCUAAGACAACCAGGAUGUUGGCUUAGAAGCAGCCACUCAUUUAAAGAGUGCGUAAUAGCUCACUGGUCGAGUGAUCUUGCGCCGAAAAUGUCCGGGGCUAAACCUAUCACCGAAGCUAUGGAUUUACAUCGGAUGAUGUAAGUGGUAGAGGAGCAUCGUAUGCGGGCUGAAGUCGUACCGUAAGGAGCGAUGGACUGCAUAGGAGAGAGAAUGCUGGCAUGAGUAACGAGAGGGUGGUGAGAAUCCACCCCAUCGAAAGCCUAAGGUUUCCUGGGGAAGGUUCGUCCGCCCAGGGUAAGUCGGGGCCUAAGCCGAGGACUAGAUGGUCGUAGGCGAUGGACAACAGGUUGAUAUUCCUGUACUACCCGAAGCGUCUGAGAGAAGCAGUGACACAGAAGGAUAGGUCAAGCGGGUUGAUGGUAGAACCCGUCCAAGCAUUGAGGCUGUGUGGAUAGUAAAGUACGUCCGCAUAAAGCUGGGGUGUGAUGGGGACAGAACAUAAGUAUGGAAGUGACUGAAUUCACGCUGGCGAGAAAAGCUGCUAUCAAGCAGAAGGGUACCCGUACCGCAAACCGACACAGGUAGGCGAGGAGAGAAUCCUAAGAUGAGCGAGAUAACCCUUGUUAAGGAACUCGGCAAAAUGACUCCGUAACUUCGGGAGAAGGAGUGCCACGAAAGUGGUUGCAGUGAAUAGGCCCAUGCAACUGUUUAUCAAAAACACAGGUCUGUGCAAAAUCGAGAGAUGAUGUAUACGGGCUGACGCCUGCCCAGUGCUGGAAGGUUAAGGGGAACUGUUAGCGCAAGCGAAGCAGUGAACCGAAGCCCCAGUGAACGGCGGCCGUAACUAUAACGGUCCUAAGGUAGCGAAAUUCCUUGUCGGGUAAGUUCCGACCCGCACGAAAGGCGUAAUGAUUUGGGCGCUGUCUCAACAAGGGACUCGGUGAAAUUGUAGGGCUGGUAAAGAUGCCAGCGACCCGCGACUAGACGGAAAGACCCCGUAGAGCUUUACUGU